RNAcentral lists this ribosomal RNA (542 nucleotides) under uncultured bacterium. RNAcentral describes it as "bacterial SSU rRNA". It matches the Rfam family "Bacterial small subunit ribosomal RNA", at positions 355 to 896 of the family's 1533-position model. The record is from RNAcentral.
UGGGGAAUAUUGCGCAAUGGGGGGAACCCUGACGCAGCCAUGCGCGUGAAUGAAGAAGGCCUUAGGGUUGUAAAGUUCUUUCGGUAUUGAGGAAGGUUGAUGUGUUAAUAGCACAUCAAAUUGACGUUAAAUACAGAAGAAGCACCGGCUAACUCCGUGCCAGCAGCCGCGGUAAUACGGAGGGUGCGAGCGUUAAUCGGAAUAACUGGGCGUAAAGGGCCAGCAGGCGGUUAUUUAAGUGAGGUGUGAAAGCCCCGGGCUUAACCUGGGAAUUGCAUUUCAGACUGGGUAACUAGAGUACUUUAGGGAGGGGUAGAAUUCCACGUGUAGCGGUGAAAUGCGUAGAGAUGUGGAGGAAUACCGAAGGCGAAGGCAGCCCCUUGGGAAUGUACUGACGCUCAUGUGCGAAAGCGGGGGAGCAAACAGGAUUAGAUACCCUGGUAGUCCACGCUGUNNCGCUGUCGAUUUGGGGGUUGNGUUUAACUCUGGCGCCCGUAGCUAACGUGAUAAAUCGACCGCCUGGGGAGUACGGCCGCAAGUUA